Molecule: non-coding RNA, 309 nt
Organism: Vicia faba (fava bean)
Lineage: Eukaryota; Viridiplantae; Streptophyta; Magnoliopsida; Fabales; Fabaceae
Source: the annotation of a GenBank genome assembly
UUCCAAAUCCAACACAAUCCAAUCUUCCAUGUACCUUUCCUCAUCUGUCUUGUUUCCAAACCUAUUUGUUUCUCCAUCCUUUUUCCAGAACCCAACUCAACUUUGACCUCAUGUUCUCUUUCUCUCUCCUUAUUUUCUCUCUCCAAAUUUAUUAUAGAUUCCACCAUCACAUUACUAUUAGUACCAACCAACACUCACUUCCAACAUACUCUCUCUCUUAGAAAAUAUAACAACAAGACAAAGCAACCCAUCAGAUCUCUUCUCUCAUGCUGCUACAUCAACAAACACACGCAACGGCGUCGUAUGUAA